RNAcentral lists this ribosomal RNA (433 nucleotides) under uncultured bacterium. Its description in RNAcentral is "partial 16S ribosomal RNA". It matches the Rfam family "Bacterial small subunit ribosomal RNA", at positions 29 to 507 of the family's 1533-position model. The record is from RNAcentral.
AACGAACGCUGGCGGCAUGCCUAACACAUGCAAGUCGAACGAGAACUUCGGGUCUAGUGGCGCACGGGUGCGUAACGCGUGGGAACCUGCACUUAGGUUCGGAAUAACUCUCCGAAAGGGGUGCUAAUACCGGAUAAUGUCUUCGGCCCAAGGAUUUAUCGCCUUUGGAUGGGCGCGCGUUGGAUUAGCUUGUUGGUAGGGUAAUAGCUUACCAACGCGACGAUCCAUAGUUGGUCUGAGAGGAUGGUAAGCCACACUGGGAGUGAGACACGGCCCAGACUCCUACGGGAGGGAGGAGUGGGGGAUAGUGGACAGUGGGCGAAAGCAUGAUCCAGCAAGGCCGCGUGAAUUAUGAAGGCCGUAGAGAAGUAAAGUUCUUGUACCCGGGAAGAUAAUGACAGUACCGGGAGAAUAAGCUCCGGCUAACUCCGUG